GAUGAAGAACGUAGCGAAAUGCGAUAAGUAAUGUAAAUUGCAGAAUUCAGUGAAUCAUCGAAUCUUUGAACGCACAUUGCGCCCGUCAGUAUUCUGGCGGGCAUGCCUGUUCGAGCGUCAUUACGCCCCUCAAGUCCCCUGUGGACUUGGUGUUGGGGAUCGGCGAGGCUGGUUUUCCAGCACAGCCGUCCCUUAAAUUAAUUGGCGGUCUCGCCGUGGCCCUCCUCUGCGCAGUAGUAAAACACUCGCAACAGGAGCCCGGCGCGGUCCACUGCCGUAAAACCCCCCAACUUUUUAUAGUUGACCUCGAAUCAGGUAGGACUACCCGCUGAACUUAAGCAUAUCAAUAAGCGGAGGA
Molecule: unclassified non-coding RNA, 358 nt
Filed under: soil metagenome
Description: partial contains 5.8S ribosomal RNA, internal transcribed spacer 2, and large subunit ribosomal RNA
Rfam family: 5.8S ribosomal RNA (bases 1-120)
Source: RNAcentral